Molecule: ribosomal RNA, 256 nt
Filed under: uncultured bacterium
Lineage: Bacteria
Description: partial 16S ribosomal RNA
Rfam family: Bacterial small subunit ribosomal RNA
Source: RNAcentral
UACGUAGGUGGCAAACGUUAUCCGGAAUUAUUGGGCGUAAAGGGUGCGUAGAUGGCAUAAUAAGUUAUUGGUGGUAAAUCGAGGCUCAACCUCGUGGAAGCUGGUAAUACUGUUAUGCUCGAGUGCAGAAGAGGUUAACGGAACUCCCUGUGGAGCGGUAAAAUGUGAAGAUAUAGGGAAGAACACCAAUAACGGCGAAGGCAGUUAACUAUUCUGCUACUGACAUUGAGGCACGAAAGCGUGGGGAGCAAAACGG